Non-coding RNA from Podarcis lilfordi (Lilford's wall lizard), 4425 nucleotides. The record is from the annotation of a GenBank genome assembly. Lineage: Eukaryota; Metazoa; Chordata; Lepidosauria; Squamata; Lacertidae.
UGAGCAACAUAUGCAAACUCCAGCCUCCUCUUCCGAUGUCAAUACUUCUCACGUUUUAAAAUGACACCUUGUUGGUGAACUUUUGAGGAAAACAGACACUCCAUGGUUAUGUAUGUGAUUUUUCCCCCCUCUUAAUGUUACAGUGAAUGCCCAAAAUCUGAUGAAUGUUGACGUUCCCAUGUGAACGCUGACAAUCCCAGAUGGAUUCUGAAAUUAGAUAUAUCUAUUUCCUCACUUUUCAGACAUAUACCAGCGAAUGUUUUGACUGUGACAUUUAGGUGACAACGUCUGAUUUUUCAGACAUUCACAUGUGAGCGUCAAUAGUCAAUGGAUUUUGGACAUUUUCUGUCUCAUAUAUGUGCAAACAUAUAAUCACACACAUAAUAGAUAAAAAUGGAUGGAUAGAUAGAGAAAUUUCCAUUAAGUCUGUGAGAGAUCCUUUUUUGGUCAUAUAAGAAGCAUAAUUUUAAAGGAAGACCAAUAAAUGGUUAUCUCUCUUCUAGCAGCCUCAAGAAUAUGUAUUAGCUAUAACUGGAAAAAGAAGGAAGUACUGUACCAAUAACUUCUCAAUGGCUGUUGAAAAUCUGGGCCACACUAAGGAUAAUAAAACUUACAAACUCUGCCCAAACAAGGUUGGUGAGGAGACAGUGUCUCCCUGUUAUGUUUUGGAAUUUGAAAGUGGAUUCUAUACAUUAAUACGAGUUCAGUAUGGUAUAAGCACAUUAAGGCAGACAUUAUUUAAUUGGGGGUGGCUAAUUAAGUUCAUUGACAGAAAGAGAAGAGUGAGCACUUGCUUUUAUCCCAAGAAUAGCUAAGGCAGGAGAGAUGCCACCACCCUCACCUGUCCGCCUCUGAGAAGAAAAGAAAAACUACCCUGGCUUCAAGUCUUCACCCCAUGCUCUGCCUCAGAAUGGAAGCAAUCCUGGAAGCAGGACAGGAGAGCAAGAGCACUCUCCUAUUUAUGAUAUCCGCCAACCGGCACUGAGAGCUGUGUGGCGACUUUCCACUUAUGCAGGGGUUAUGUUCUGGGGUCCCACGUUCAUAAGUGAAAUGCAAGUAAGUGGGGACAUCAUCUUUGGGCUCUGGGGUGGGUUUUCUGGCUUGCCACUCGUCACUUCCGGGUUCCCAGCACUGCGCGUGUGCGCUGUCAUGUGCAAGUAGACUGAGCAGAAGUGGGGAGUUGUUUGUACUGGAAGAAAUGUAGCCUUCGUAACAAGCAGCCAACACGUUAAUCUGCUUCUCAAAAAAAAGUGUUGAGUGCCCAGAUCUCUCUCAAUGUAGAAGGUACAGUCAUUUUUCUUGAAAAGAGGAAAAACUAAAAACAAGCAAAGAGGGAGUGAGCACAUGGGGCAACACCCUGGACCACAGCAGCAACAUUUAGGUCACCCAACUCUCUUCUAAAACAGUUUGGGUGGGGGGAGAGGUAAAGGUCGAAGCAAGUCUCCAGCCAACUCUCACUGUCAAAAAUUCAGGGACUCCUGACUAUCCUGCAUUGGAGGGUUGGACUAGAUGAUUAUUUGCAUCUCUUCCAACUCUAUGGUUCUAUAUUCCUCCAGCUCCCAACAAAGCAAUUCUCCCCCCACCCCUAGCUAUUGCAUUUCCACCAGUCACAGCUCUCCCCCCCCCCCCAUCACCAGAACUGGGUAAAAAAAGACAACUCAAAUUCUCGAAUCGUGCCAAGUGGCACCUACAGCAUCCAUCGCCCUCGAGUGCCAUUAUUCAGAGCCUCAAAACAGGCAGCUUCCUGCAACACUGAAUUCCCAUGGCGGUGCCAGGCACACAUCCCCAGAUAUUAUCAGCCAGGCUCUGCGGUAAACAGAAAACAGGAGAUGCACUUCCCAGGAGCUGCUCCAUUUCAGCGCUGGGUGAAACCGUUCCUCCCCACUAAAAAGUUUCCUGCUGCUCUCAUGCGGUUCAGGCUGGCUGUUACGGAAAGUGCAACACCAUGCCCAUUGCCAAACAGUAAAAUAAAUUUAAAGAAACAUUGUAAAAUUCCCCACUAAGGAAGCUUUGGAACCCAAAACGCCACCACAGAAAUCUUGUCGUCCACCCCAUCUGUUCUUGCUGUUACUCUAGCCGGAAAGCCAGUCUCUUCUACCCUGACAGGUUGCACCAGAAAUAGCUAUGCCAUCACACAGCCAGCGUCGAAAGGGGGGGGAGUUGUUCCUACAUGGGAACAGGCCGUAGUAACAACAACAAAAACAAAUAAUAAUGCCUUCCCUCUUUUGCUACCCUCUUGUUUCUCCUUACAUAGGGAUAAUAAAACACAAGAGAAUGCAAGAUCUAAGCAGAAUCAUUUUUAAUCCUCCACCUCCUUUGCAAGGUCUUCAACAUGGCAUUAUUUAAUUUUCCACUUUUUUCUACUGUUUGUUUAUGCCAAUGCAGGGUGGCAGAAGCAGAAAGAAAAGCCAGAUUAAUGAAAAUCCAAGCACGUCUGUGUUCACUAAGCAAGCAGUCAUAGACUUCAGUGGGUAUUUUAUUAUUUCUAAGGGAAAACACAGGAAGGGGGUGAGGCACAGCUUAAAAAAAAGGUGUGUCACUCUUUCUGUAUAGAUAUAGAAGGACCCAUGACUAGAGUGUACUUUAUUUGCAAGUCUCAUUUUCCAUCCCACCGUUCGAAUACAUUUCCAGGCUCAGAAAACAAGCCAGGAGUUUAGCUCAGCCAGAGCUAACUCAAGCUGACAGCUAUAGCACUGAUGCCUGCCAGACUUGAUUGACUGGUUGGAUAUAUUUAGACCUGAGGGAGGGAACGAAGAAAAAUGGAGGGUGGGUGGGUGGGAGAAAUGAGAAAGAUAAGGAGGAGGACACUGUUGUACGUUUGAACUAAAAAUAUAAAAUCACAAAGGCUAUUGUUAGCAAUGGUAAAUAAUAAAAAAGGUAAGUGGCAUCGCCUCCAGCAGGGUCUUCAUCCCCACCCAUCUCACACUCCAUAUGAACAUAAUCUCAGACAGAUAUCCAUUUGCAGUUUUAGGUUGGAGAGAGAGGAAGGAAGGACACCUUUCUAUACGUCGAUGGUCCCUGGCUCCAUCCCCAGCAAGGUUAUUAAGAUCUCGGGUAGUAUCCCUGCCGAAGACUCUGGAGACAGGUGCUAGCCAAGAGGAGACCAACCUGAGCCUAAGUACCAAUGAUCAGGUCCAGCUGGAGUAGUGUUGCACUUAGGUAAUUUUAGACUUAAUGGAAGCCCCCGCAUUAGACAGCAUGAAACGCAAUGCUUCACCGAGAUCAAAAUGUGGUAUGUCAGUCCUCUGAGGGCCUUUCUGCUCAUUCUGCUGGGCCCUGAACGCCUACCCAAUUGCCCCAAUGGUGCAGUUGAAUAAUAUAUAUAUAUUAAGGCACCAUGAUACACAUAUGCUCAUAUGAUUUAGCUCUGCGAAAGGUCACAUGCUCUACAGGCAGAAGGCUCAAUCCCCGGCAUCUCCAGUGAAAAUGAUCUCAGCCAGCAUGGUGGAGCAUGAACCCUGUUAGAGACCUGCUGUUGGACAACAAUGGAUCACAAGAUAUAUGGCCCAUCUAGCCCAGGGUCCUGUUUCUCACAGUGGCCAACCAGAUGCCUCUGGGAUGCCCAGAAACUCGGAAUGAAGCCAACAGCCUCCCGCUCUCCACUUCCUGUAACUGCAAAUAUUUGCAAUUGCAUACUGCCUUUAGGAGAAUGGUUCCUGUAGCUCUGCAGGUGAUGCUUGGCUGCAGCUCCCAUCCCUGACCAUAGGGGCAGGAUGGCUACAGCUGAUGGGAGCCGGAGUGCAGCAACAUCUGGAGGACCAGAGGUUCCCACGCUCUCGGUUCUAGAAGCCCAACCCCACGGACCAACUUUGACAGGUCUUAGGAACAAGUGAGCGCCUCAAAGCUCUAUGACGGACGCCAUUUUCACCAGAAGCCAAAACAGUUUCCUGCAAUAGUUUGAUAUUUCUGUUUUGUUAGCCACCAUAAUAAAUAGGUGGUUUUAGAGAUUAACGGCAUCCUGCCAGAACAAACUUGUCUGAAGUGCUGCUCAAUGCUUUCAUCCCCGCAGUCGCCUCUAUAUAUCAUUCAUAAAGUUUGUUACACAUCAUGGAGAAAGUGGGGGUGAGCAAUGCUGUAAUAGCUGGUGACAGAGUGGGAGGAGCCGGUAUUGGAUGAAUGAAGUAUGAUGAUUGCUUCUCCAGCACAAUAAUUCAGGAACAUGGUUAACGGGCGCAAUUCCUUGUUCUCUCCACUCCUCUCUUUUUACUUGACCUCCCAUGUAGCUUAAUUUCUCCCUCCUUUACUCCCGUCCACUCUGCCCACUGCCCUUGUGGCCUGAUUACGAUGUCUGGGACUUUUUGCUUGCCUCUGUUCCCAGGACUUCCUGACUCUCCCACACAGAGCGUCUAAUUCCCCCGCUCUGCAUAAUCUCCCUCUCUCCCCCGCUCCCCCAUAGACACACCCUCUUCUUCUGGCAUUAUGGAC